RNAcentral lists this unclassified non-coding RNA (463 nucleotides) under Hevea brasiliensis (rubber tree). Lineage: Eukaryota; Viridiplantae; Streptophyta; Magnoliopsida; Malpighiales; Euphorbiaceae. The record is from RNAcentral.
AAACUCCCUAAUGGAAACCAUUGUCAAGCUUUCAAUCACUCUUCUUCUUCUUCUUCUUACACUUCUCACCAAAGGUGUUUGUAGUUGUGGUUUGAACAAUAUAACGGUUGGAACAAUAAGGAGUGGUGUAGAAAUAAAGGGAAAGCCAGAGUGGAAUGUGGUUGUGGUGAACAAUUGUGAUUGUCCCAUGCAAAAAAUGGUAUUGUCUUGCAAUGAUUUUCAGACAACAGAGCCAGUGGAUCCAACUAUUUUCAAGCCUUUGGGAAACAAUGAAUGUAGUGUCAACAAUGGCAAUGUCAUACCAGCAAAAAAUACAGUCAACUUCUCUUAUGCUUGGGAUCCUCCUUUUUUCCUAAGGCCAACUUUUGUUACUACUUCCUGUUGAAAAUAUAAAUCCCUAUGUAUGAUGUAGAGGCAAAUUUACUAUAGUUGUUUGAAUUUUAAUGAGAGGGCUUGUACUAUA